CUUGGUCAUUUAGAGGAAGUAAAAGUCAUAACAAGGUUUCCGUAGGUGAACCUGCGGAAGGAUCAUUAAUAGUGCCCAUUGAUGCAAAUCAUUGGGUUAGAUCUGCCCUUAUCGCAAGAUGAGGGCUUCCAUAUACACCGUGAACUGUGGCUUCGGCCAUCACAAACUGUUAGUAAUGAAUGUAAUAUCAUAACAAAAACAAAACUUUUAACAACGGAUCUCUUGGCUCUCGCAUCGAUGAAGAACGCAGCGAAAUGCGAUAAGUAAUGUGAAUUGCAGAAUUCAGUGAAUCAUCGAAUCUUUGAACGCACCUUGCGCCCUUUGGUAUUCCGAAGGGCAUGCCUGUUUGAGUGUCAUGAAACCUCACCCCACUUAGGUUUUUGCCUAAGCGGUGGUGUAUUGGGUGUUUGCCUUGCUAAAGGCUCGCCUUAAAGAUAUAAGCACCUUGGAUGUAAUACGUUUCAUCCUUCUGGGUGGCUGAUAACCCCACAUAUUCAUGAUCUGGCCUCAAAUCAGGUAGGGCUACCCGCUGAACUUAAGCAUAUCAAUAAGCGGAGGAAAAGAAACUAACUAGGAUUCCCUUAGUAACGGCGAGUGAACCGGGAUGAGCUCAAAUUUAAAAUCUGGCGUCUUUCAGGCGUCCGAGUUGUAAUCUAUAGAGGCGUUUUCCGCGCCGGACCGCGUCCAAGUCUCUUGGAAUAGAGUAUCAAGGAGGGUGACAAUCCCGUACUUGACGCGACAACCGGUGCUCUGUGAUACGUUCUCAAUGAGUCGAGUUGUUUGGGAAU
This 788-nucleotide small RNA is filed under the name uncultured Cryptococcus. RNAcentral's name for it is "eukaryotic LSU rRNA". The stretch from base 503 to 788 matches the Rfam family "Eukaryotic large subunit ribosomal RNA", at positions 1 to 281 of the family's 3401-position model. The record is from RNAcentral. Lineage: Eukaryota; Fungi; Basidiomycota; Tremellomycetes.